CGGUGUGUAGCGCAGCCAGGUCAGCGUACUUCCCUCGGACGGAAGGGGCCGCAGGUUCGAAUCCUGCCACACCGACCA
RNAcentral lists this transfer RNA (78 nucleotides) under Bradyrhizobium elkanii. RNAcentral describes it as "tRNA-Pro". It matches the Rfam family "tRNA". From Rfam's summary of the family: Transfer RNA (tRNA) molecules are approximately 80 nucleotides in length. Their secondary structure includes four short double-helical elements and three loops (D, anti-codon, and T loops). Further hydrogen bonds mediate the characteristic L-shaped molecular structure. tRNAs have two regions of fundamental functional importance: the anti-codon, which is responsible for specific mRNA codon recognition, and the 3' end, to which the tRNAs corresponding amino acid is attached (by aminoacyl-tRNA synthetases). tRNAs cope with the degeneracy of the genetic code in two manners: having more than one tRNA (with a specific anti-codon) for a particular amino acid; and 'wobble' base-pairing, i.e. permitting non-standard base-pairing at the 3rd anti-codon position. Lineage: Bacteria; Pseudomonadati; Pseudomonadota; Alphaproteobacteria; Hyphomicrobiales; Nitrobacteraceae. The record is from RNAcentral.